GAUGAACGCAGGCGGUGUGCCUAAUACAUGCAAGUCGUACGCAAUGGCCCAGAUGAUAAACAGUGCUUGCACCUGAUUGACGAUGGAUCGCCAGUGAGUGGCGGACGGGUGAGUAACACGUAGGUAACCUGCCCCGGAGUGGGGGAUAACAUUUGGAAACAGAUGCUAAUACCGCAUAACAACAAAAGCCACAUGGUUUUUGUUUGAAAGAUGGCUUUGGCUAUCACUCUGGGAUGGACCUGCGGUGCAUUAGCUAGUUGGUAAGGUAACGGCUUACCAAGGCGAUGAUGCAUAGCCGAGUUGAGAGACUGAUCGGCCACAAUGGAACUGAGACACGGUCCAUACUCCUACGGGAGGCAGCAGUAGGGAAUCUUCCACAAUGGGCGCAAGUCUGAUGGAGCAACACCGCGUGAGUGAAGAAGGGCUUCGGCUCGUAAAGCUCUGUUGUUGGAGAAGAACGUGAGUGAGAGUAACUGUGCACGCAGUGACGGUAACAUCCAUGAGGACCGCCUC
RNAcentral lists this ribosomal RNA (513 nucleotides) under Limosilactobacillus reuteri. RNAcentral's name for it is "bacterial SSU rRNA". It matches the Rfam family "Bacterial small subunit ribosomal RNA", at positions 28 to 494 of the family's 1533-position model. Lineage: Bacteria; Bacillati; Bacillota; Bacilli; Lactobacillales; Lactobacillaceae. The record is from RNAcentral.